GACGAACGCUGGCGGCGUGCCUAAUACAUGCAAGUAGAACGCUGAAGGAGGAGCUUGCUCUUCUGGAUGAGUUGCGAACGGGUGAGUAACGCGUAGGUAACCUGCCUGGUAGUGGGGGAUAACUAUUGGAAACGAUAGCUAAUACCGCAUAAUAACAGUUGUUGCAUGACAACUGUUUGAAAGGUGCAAUUGCAUCACUACCAGAUGGACCUGCGUUGUAUUAGCUAGUUGGUGGGGUAACGGCUCACCAAGGCGACGAUACAUAGCCGACCUGAGAGGGGGAUCGGCCACACUGGGACUGAGACACGGCCCAGACUCCUACGGGAGGCAGCAGUAGGGAAUCUUCGGCAAUGGACGAAAGUCUGACCGAGCAACGCCGCGUGAGUGAAGAAGGUUUUCGGAUCGUAAAGCUCUGUUGUAAGAGAAGAACGAGUGUGAGAGUGGAAAGUUCACACUGUGACGGUAUCUUACCAGAAAGGGACGGCUAACUACGUG
This 495-nucleotide ribosomal RNA is filed under the name uncultured bacterium. RNAcentral describes it as "partial 16S ribosomal RNA". It matches the Rfam family "Bacterial small subunit ribosomal RNA", at positions 28 to 507 of the family's 1533-position model. The record is from RNAcentral.